This 282-nucleotide ribosomal RNA is filed under the name Bacillus subtilis. RNAcentral's name for it is "partial 16S ribosomal RNA". It matches the Rfam family "Bacterial small subunit ribosomal RNA", at positions 92 to 366 of the family's 1533-position model. The record is from RNAcentral. Lineage: Bacteria; Bacillati; Bacillota; Bacilli; Caryophanales; Bacillaceae.
UUAGCGGCGGACGGGUGAGUAACACGUGGGUAACCUGGCCUGUAAGACUGGGAUAACUCCGGGAAACCGGGGCUAAUACCGGAUGCUUGUUUGAACCGCAUGAUUCAAACAUAAGAGGUGGCUUCGGCUACCACUUACAGAUGGACCCGCGGCGCAUUAGCUAGUUGGUGAGGUAAUGGCUCACCAAGGCAACGAUGCGUAGCCGACCUGAGAGGGUGAUCGGCCACACUGGGACUGAGACACGGCCCAGACUCCUACGGGAGGCAGCAGUAGGGAAUCUUC